RNAcentral lists this ribosomal RNA (779 nucleotides) under uncultured bacterium. RNAcentral describes it as "bacterial SSU rRNA". It matches the Rfam family "Bacterial small subunit ribosomal RNA", at positions 70 to 867 of the family's 1533-position model. The record is from RNAcentral.
AUUGAAACCUAGUGAUUUAUGAGUUAGUGGCGGACGGGUGAGUAACGCGUGGAAAACCUGCCGUAUACCGGGGGAUAACACUUAGAAAUAGGUGCUAAUACCGCAUAAGCGCACAGCUUCGCAUGAAGCAGUGUGAAAAACUCCGGUGGUAUACGAUGGUUCCGCGUCUGAUUAGCUAGUUGGCGGGGUAACGGCCCACCAAGGCAGCGAUCAGUAGCCGGCCUGAGAGGGUGAACGGCCACAUUGGGACUGAGACACGGCCCAAACUCCUACGGGAGGCAGCAGUGGGGAAUAUUGCACAAUGGGGGAAACCCUGAUGCAGCGACGCCGCGUGAGUGAAGAAGUAUUUCGGUACGUAAAGCUCUAUCAGCAGGGAAGAAAAUGACGGUACCUGACUAAGAAGCCCCGGCUAACUACGUGCCAGCAGCCGCGGUAAUACGUAGGGGGCAAGCGUUAUCCGGAUUUACUGGGUGUAAAGGGAGCGUAGACGGCAGCGCAAGUCUGGAGUGAAAUGUCGGGGCUCAACCCCGGCCUGCCGUUGAAACUGGCGGCCUCGAGUGGGCGAGAAGUAUGCGGAAUGCGUGGUGUAGCGGUGAAAUGCAUAGAUAUCACGCAGAACUCCGAUUGCGAAGGCGGCUUACUGGACUGUAAAUGACGCUGAGGCUCGAAAGCGUGGGGAGCAAACAGGAUUAGAUACCCUGGUAGUUCACGCCGUAAACGAUGAAUACUAGGUGUCAGGGAGCAAAGCUUUUUGGUGCCGCAGCAAACGCAAUAAGUAU